AUAACAUUUAAUUAAUUAGGUACAUCAAAACAAAUAACAUAUAGAUGAUUAUCGUAACCCUCGGCAAGUUGCAUUGAAUAAAGACCGACUAGAGAUCUAUGCUACGCAGCACACAACAAAAUAUCUUUCGUAAUUCGUCCAUGCAAAUGUAAGCUUUACUUUUGAGUCCGUAAAAUACAAAAUCGCUCGCACUAAUUUUCAACUUUUCACACAUUUUAGUCCGCUUGCACACUGCACAUUUUCACCGCAACAAAUAUUUUGAUACAUGUGAUUCUUUCACUGUGCCGUACGGUCCAUAACACACUAUAACAGUCCUUGGCUUAAAAAAUGCAUUUAAAUCGUGCUGUAAUCGUUUUGCUUAAAAAUAGUUUUAAAAUAAAAAUGGAAGACUGAUACAACAUGGUUUUGGCGUCACGAAAGUUGAGGCACUCUUCAUUACUAUGAUUCUUGUAUUGCGAUGUUGUUUUGGCUUGUUAUUAAUAUAAUAUUUACCAAUCAAACUCGACGUAAUUUUGGAUUAUUCCACUAAUCCCUAUUGAGAAUACCUAGGUAGGGGACCAUCAAUGGGGAUUUGUAAAUUUUUCUUCCACAAAUCCCCAUUGGCACUCUCACGCCUCUAGGUUUAUUCCACUAAUCCCCACUGACAUUAUUCCACUAAUCCCCACUGACAAUCUCCUCAAUUUGUGACGGAGAUUGUCAGUGGGAUGGGGAUGAAGAUUUGUGAGCUUUUCUUCCACAAACCCCACUUGAUACUCUCACGCCUCUAAAGCUCCUAAUGGCGAUUUGUACACAUUCUAGAUACUAAUAGGUAUCUAUAUGUGAUUUGCCAGUUUCCGUACAAACUAUGUAUGUACCUAGUUACUUUUAAAAUAAGAUGGCCUUUAAAGAUUUGUAUGUAAAUUGUUGAGACCGUGUAACUUUGAAACUGAUUAUUUCAACGGAAAUCUGGAAAACCAUAGAUAUUAGUACCUAGAACGUAUCAACAGAUUGUGUUUGAUUGGUUAGUAUUUAAAUGAGAGCUACGUAUGUUUGGAGCUCACUAGGAAUAAACCUUUCUUAACGUUUUUCAGAUAAGUACUACUUUACCCUUAAAAGAAUAUCGGCUAAUCGGAUUGAUACAUCAGACUAAGGGUCCUUUCACAAUACCUAAUUGCGGUACGACAUUGCAUCGUAAAAUUCAACGACAGCGGCAUAACUCGUGGUAAUUCACAUGGGAAUCGUAAUUAAAGCGAAGUUGCACGAAUUACACAUUCAACACAUUUCAUUUACACAGGUCAAUACGUUGUGGAAAUAAAGGUGAAUUUGCUAUGUUAAGUUUCAAAUUGAUGUCCUUCGACUCUGCGCUAGUAUGAAUUGACCCUAAGAGGACAGUCCUCUUAGGGUCAAUUGGUGCGAUGCGACGUUGUUCCUGUGAUGCGAUGUCGCACCGAAAGUAUUGUGGAAGGGCCCUAAGGGUGUCUCAACUUAUGUGAAGGUAGAACUAGAAGGUAUGGAACUCAAAUGUUAUUAAGAUGUGAUGCUUUUGACUUUAGCGGCUCGUGUGCUGAUUUUUAUGUGUAAUAUUAAUUAAAAUCGACUUGCUUUGGCCACGUGGGAUCUGACGAAAUAUUUUCAUACAAUAAAAACGUUAUCAUAAAAUACAUUAAAAAGUUAUAAUAAGACAAACUCAAUAGAUUCCAUUUUAAUAACAAUAUAAUACAAUAUGUAGGCAAUAAUAAUAAUAUUCGUUGUUUUGUCACCUUUUUAAAACUACAAAUUAUCUAAAUCAAUUCACACUAUGUAACAUGUUAUAUAACAGUUCAUUGUUAUAUAGCUUUUUGUUUACAAUAAUAAAUUCGUUACAUUUUACUGUUAUAUUUCAGCGUUAUAGUACAAUUUUAAUUUAAUAUAAUAUCAAUACAAAACAUAAGAUGUCACAUAGGCGUGGACUCACCUAGUUAUAGGUACGAAUUUUACAAAUAUUUUCGAAAAAAUAUUGAGAAACAGUAAUAUAAUAUGUAUUUAGCCUCAAAAAUAAAAUGUGCAUUUCUAAUAUACCUACUAUAAAACAUUUUUGAGCUAGAACUUUAUUUUUAAGAAGAGAAUUGACGUGUGGAUUUAAAAAUUUAAAUAUUUGAAAAUUACAAAUAUAACUUUUAUUUGUAUAACUAUAUAAUUUGUCUCAUUAUACAUAAAAUAUAGACCCGAUUGAAGAGAUUCAACGGUUAAAGAUUAAAAUUUCAUAUUUUUACUGACAACUUUUCUAACUUCGUAGUAAAAAUUUGUAGAAAUACAAUUUUAUAAUAAUAUAUAAAUAUUGUAUACAAAUUUAAGAAAAUUUUGUAUAUAAUAUAGUACCUUAGUAGUCUAUAAACUGUUGUAAAUUAGGUAUUUUACAUACGUAAAUUGUAAUCUAGUAGGUACUUUUAGAUAUAACUAUUGUAUACUUGUAUAAUAUUUGUGUAUUUUAGUUCUAUAAAUGGUAUAUUGUUCGAGUGGUCCCUAUGUCAGUGUAUAUAAGUAUAAAAUAAUACGGGUAAUUCCCCGAAGAAACUAUUCAGAUUUGAUUGUUUAGCCGUCAAAAGUUGCGAAACUAAAUUGAUAUUCGACUUUAUGCGACCCUUUUCACAACGUUUUAUGUAUAAAAAGAUGGCUAAAAUUUUGGCCCAAUAUAUUUAGUUUAAUUUUUGUUACAGACAGUGGUAGUUAUCUAAUUUAUUUUUACCGCUAAAAUCUUUUAAAGUAUUUCGGCAAUACCAUUGAAAGUGUCGUUCUUUUGUUUUGAAACUGGAACAUAUUUUAUAAAUAUG
Long non-coding RNA from Maniola jurtina (meadow brown), 2789 nucleotides. RefSeq lists it as uncharacterized. NCBI's taxonomy places the organism in Eukaryota, Metazoa, Arthropoda, Insecta, Lepidoptera, Nymphalidae. The transcript is spliced from 2 exons. The record is from RefSeq and is a predicted model, not a curated record.